AAUGAAGGCCUUCUGGAAUAUAAAAUAGGUUCUUCGAAUUUUAACUGUGUUUCAGGAUCAGAAAUGAGUGGCGUUUUGUUUUAAGACAGGAUCUCUCAAUACUAUCGGGGCUGGCCCGGAACUCGUGAUCUUUUCUCAACCCCCUGGUGUUGGAUUAAGAGAUUUGUGCUAUGAUGCUGGGAAAAUUAUUUUUACUGUUAUGAAAACAGUUGCCUAGAAUUACUAGAGUAAUUUUAUUCACCAUUCACAUGGGCCACCCAAAUAAACAGGUAUUGUUACCAGACUCAGGGAGUACAGCCUGUUUUCAACAAGCCACGGUCAGCCACCUGUCUUCAAUAAGCUGGUUAAAAAAGUCAAAUUAAUAAUGAAAUACGGGGGGAGGGAAGAUAUGUUCAGUGUGGCCACUCUGAGAAGAGGGGUACAGCCAUCCAGUGAUUCCCCCAAGUCUGUCAUUGAGGAUCCUGACAAAAAGGCCUGGUGCCAGUGGAGACCAGAAGGGGAGGUCAGGUCCCCUAGAUCUAUGGUUAUGGAUGGCUGUAAAACCAUCACAUAGUGUUAGGAAACGACUUCACACCAAACACAAUUGGCUAACUGGCACAAAGAGACAGAGCAAGGUCCUGGGAAUAUGGGCCCUUUGGGGCUGACUGCCUUUUGGGAACAGAGAACUCCUGGAAAGAAGCGGAGUCCGCUGAGGCCAAUUGACUCAUUGGAGCUGACACUGUGGGGAGAUCGGAAUUUUGGAGGUCCAAAGUCUACAUAUGCCUCAGCAUCAGGCUUCCACCAGGCUGACAGACACCAUCCUGGAAGGCACUGAAAGCUGCUGCGAACCACUCCAGCUGAUGUGGCUGUUCCCUGUCCCUUUCGCUGAGUCAGCUACCCAGAUGCUUCUGAUAAAUGCACAUUUUCCAGCCUUUGGCUUGUCUUUGUCUUCCUGGGCCCUGACAACAACACCCUAGCUUCGGCUGGAAGUAGUUACAAAGAGAAUUUGUAGUCCCUUACCCCCUUGCAAAAAUUGAAAUGCUGGAUUAAAAGGAAACUCCCUGCGUAGGGGACAAAAAUGAUAUACUGUGAAAGUUGGGCUCAGAUUUAUCAACAGGUAGAUUCAUUAGCUGAAAUAGUUCUACAAGAAGACAGGGCAGUUGGUCUGCUUUAUGUAGAACAAAGAGGUACUGAAUGACUUGAAGAAAAAUAAUGUGUUUCUAUACAAACCAUUCCUGGCUGUACUAAAAGAAACACUGCAAGAGGGGGACCUGAGAUGAAAGAAAUGACUGGUGCUCUGUCCAUUUCAAGACUCCUUCUAGAGAGUAACCCUGAUGUCAGCCAUCACAGAACCUUUGGCCCUUCUGCUUCGGCUAAUUACUGUUGGCUCUUGCAUCACUGAUGUCUUGAUAAUUUCUCUCUGGUCACCAGUAAGUUGAUGGUUAUUAGAUUCCAAUGUAAACAGGUACCCAUCACAGAGUCAAGGACUUAAUUCAGAAUACAAUCCGGGGGUAUAGACGGGAGCAAAUGUAAGAGCCAAAGUCAACCUGUGAGCCCCAUUUUUCCAAGGACAAGGUUAACUAUCUGGGAUGCUGGGAACUGUAGUUCUUGGGAAAUAAGAAAGCCACAUAUUUUCACUCAGAGUUGAACCAAUUACACUGGAUAUGCUCAAUCACAUGUAGGCAGAAAGUAUGUCAGGAUGUGUUGCUGAAUAUUAAUAUUCAUUAUUUAGCUUUUAGUUAAACAGCAGUUAUUCCUAAACCAGCUGUAUACCCAAAUCACCACACAGAGACUAGGAUUUAUUUAGUUAACCUAAAGCACAAUGCUCGGCAAUGAUUACUCCAUCCUAAACCUUCAAGCAUGUAUAGCUUCCUCCCAGUCAGAUUUCCUACAUUAUACUUGCUUUUAGUCAUAUCUUUGGUCUCGUUUAUCUCUCCUCAUGGUUCUGAGUCCUCUCCUAAUGAUCUCUGCUUUCCUACUCCUCUCGCUUACUUCCUUGUCCUCCCCUCCGGACCAGGAUGUCCCACCCUAUUCUCUCCAUUACUCAGCAUUGGCUAGGUAUUUUAUUGACAAUACAGAGAACAAAUGGUGGCAUGUUUUACAUAAACUUGAGACAGGUGAUGCUUAGAAUAAGUCAAUGCAAUGUCCGGAUUGAACCAGAUAGUGGGGUAGAGAAAUCAGCAUUUGAAUGAACAAGGGUAAAUGUGUGCAUUCCACAAGAACAUUGUACCAACGAGGAUGUAUGCCUGCCCCUGAGUGAACCUGAUGGGAAAUGCAAUAAACUGUGUGUUUUGCCUUUUUAAGCCCCUACAAAACAUUAAUCGUGGCCACUCUCUGGGACCCCAAAGUGGAUCUGACUAGAAUCCAUCCUGGUCAAUAUUUAAUUAAAGCUUGCUUCAAAUUGACUCAAAAUUAUGGAACUGGCUUUUCCCUCACGAAUCUCAGGAUGAAGACAAGGUUCAGUUCCCAGCACCCUCAUGGCAGCUAACAAUCUUUAUAAUCCAGUUUCAGGAAAUCCGGCACCACAUACGUACGGAGUACAGACAUGCAUUCAGGCAAAACACUCAUACACAUGAAAUAAAAAAGUAAAUAAAUCUUAAGAAAAUAAAAGGUUAAUAAUGUGAGUUUAAAGUGAUAGUUGAAAAACACCUACCAGCUUCGCAUGUGGACUACGAAAUUCAUUUCCAUCCCAUUAACAGGCUGCAUACCAUCUCCUUCUGUAGGCAUUUUGGUCAUUCACACAUGUGUUUGCUAAAAAUAACCCCCUUACUGUGAAUAAACAUGGUCUUGCCUACUGUGAGGCCAAGCCUCUCUCUUUCUACCUUCCAUCUCUCUAAAGCUUCUUUUUGAAUAAUCUAAAAAAAAAAAAGUGUGCCUGUGUGUGAAUGUGUGUCUCUCUGUGUGUGUGUGACUGUGUCUUUAUGUGUAUGUUUUUCUCUGUGUGUAAGUGUGUCUGUGUGUGUGUGUCUGUGUGUGUGAGAGAGAGAAUAUGUGUGUGUGCAUUUGUGCAUAUUGCAAUUAAAUUGUGAGCAGAACAAAAAAAACUGAAGACAUUUUUCCAGUAUUAAAGAAACAAAUUUGUUGUGGUUUUUUUUCAUAUUUUGCAGCAGUCAGUGAAGAAGACUGCCAUACAGACAGAUGUGAAUUCCUAUCUUUCUUCUUUCUAUAUUGCUUUCAUCCUACUCUUUAAGUUAAAUAAAAAUGUCAACCAGCAUUCAUACUUCUGUCGUUUGCAGCCAUGCAUUGGCCACAGAUACUAAAGUUCAUCGAGAGUAAACUAAAUCACCGUGUAAAGGCAAUUAACCAUAAUGAUUUUGUAAUUUGCAUAAUUAUUUGUAAAUUGCAGGUUAUUCCUACUUUAAAUUAGUAAAAUACGGUACACAUGCACAUAAAUAUUACCUUUCAGAUUUGUUUUAUUCUUUUAUUUUAUGUGUGUGAGUGUUUUGCUUCCAUGUCUGUGCAUUCGUGUGCCUGCCUGGUACCCUCAGAGACCAGAAGAGGGUGCUGGAUCCUUUGCUACUGGAGUUACAGAUGGUUGUGAGCUGCCGUGAGGGUGCUGAGAAUCAGAGCCAGGUCCUCUGGAAGGUGCUUUUAACUGAUGAGCCAUCCCUGGUACCAGAUUUGUUCUUGAAAACCGACUGUUAAACAUUUCUCUGCACCUUGCCUCAGUAUGGCUGUCAGCUUCACAGAAACAGCAGCACGGAUGCCGUCCCAUCCUCUGCCGUGCUCCUCUGCAGCAUCAGACUCCAUCUUCUUUAGCAUUUCAACACAGACUCAAUACUCUGCAGGGACUUUCCAGACCUUCAGUACCAUGUGGGGACUGCUGAGCUUCCUGGAUUGAACAACUCUCUCGUCUUCUGCCUCCCUAGGGAGCAGAUCAUGGUUGUUGACUUACUCAUCCUCCGUCGUGUAAAGGAACUGAAUAGAUCCCAUUUUUAUUUAAAAAUUUUUUGAUCCAUUUAACCCUGCCUCAGUCCAGAAUUGUAAGUUCCUUGUGGACAGUAACUACUUCUGUUUGAUUUCCCAAGAUUCUACACGUCUUCUUAUAUAGGUGCUUAACAGAGUAUUACUGUGAAUGAGUAAAUGCAAGUUUAGAAACUUUGCCUUCUUCAUGUUUAUUCUGAGAACCAACAGAUACAAAUCAAGUCCUGCAAGAGAAAAAAAAAAUGAGUAUGCCGAACUGCCUCUUGAUUGUGAAAACAACUGUGUAACAUUCAAACAUGUGUUAAGAGAGAGGAAAGAUGGUUUUUGGGGGAGAGGAUACACAGCACAGUUACCCUCAUACUUGUUUUCGUGGUUGCUUUUUGAAAAUCAAGUCCCCGUUGCGAUAUAUCCAAUGAGACAGUCCAGUAUCCUGAACCCCAAAACAAGGCCCAAUUCUUGAGAUUUUUUUGUCUCUCAGAGGUACCAGCAUUUUUCUGACACCAUCAUUGACCAGGAGAACUGAUGGCUUGCUUCGUGGCUUCAAGAUUUUUAUGUUAAGAUAAAUGGCAAUAAAUAAGAGCCAGGAGACACAGAUAACAAAGAUUCAUGUAGGGUGUGCCUUUUCAUGAGCGCGAGCUAUACUCUUUUACAUGCUAUACAUAUGCUAGACUGAAAUCUAGCAUCUUAGUUUCUGUGAAGAACUUUACGUUGGGGAUUUUUUUUUCUUAUACUACAAAUGAGGGUGGCGGCUCAAGAGCUUUGGGAAGUUGCUUACAGGACAGAUCUGCUCAGCAGCAAGACUGAAUUUGUCUCUGAUUUGUCUCUGCUGGAGGUGUUUUAAUCGGACACUGUUUCUGGAAACAUCAGCUGUCCAUAUACCACUCAGUUCAGGAAACUGUUCAGCUACUGCUUUCAGCUACUGCCAUGUCUGCCUGCCAAUCAUGUUAUUAUUUCCCUCCUAUAUUCCUUGGACUUGUAAAACUUUUUAUUUAACCUAAUCCAUAGAAUUAUGGUUGACGUAUUACAUUGUCUGAAUACAUGGAUUUGUGUAAAUAGAUGCUAGUGAUUAAUCUUUAAAAUGUAUCUGCUUACUGUCUAGAAUGGAAUGAAAAUAACAAGAAAUAAAAAGGAAAGGACAUGACAGUUCCUAGGUAAGGUGGAGGAGGAAGUUUACAGAUAAAAGGGAGAGCAUAGCCAGAGACAGGGACAUCUGGAAGAAUCCAGAGUGGACAUGACCCUGAGCCAU
Molecule: long non-coding RNA, 5149 nt
Organism: Meriones unguiculatus (Mongolian gerbil)
Lineage: Eukaryota; Metazoa; Chordata; Mammalia; Rodentia; Muridae
Exons: 5
Source: RefSeq, a predicted model, not a curated record